This 2891-nucleotide ribosomal RNA is filed under the name Klebsiella pneumoniae. RNAcentral's name for it is "bacterial LSU rRNA". It matches the Rfam family "Bacterial large subunit ribosomal RNA". Lineage: Bacteria; Pseudomonadati; Pseudomonadota; Gammaproteobacteria; Enterobacterales; Enterobacteriaceae. The record is from RNAcentral.
ACUAAGCGUACACGGUGGAUGCCCUGGCAGUCAGAGGCGAUGAAGGACGUGCUAAUCUGCGAAAAGCGUCGGUAAGGUGAUAUGAACCGUUACAGCCGGCGAUGUCCGAAUGGGGAAACCCAGUGUGAUUCGUCACACUAUCGUUAACUGAAUACAUAGGUUAACGAGGCGAACCGGGGGAACUGAAACAUCUAAGUACCCCGAGGAAAAGAAAUCAACCGAGAUUCCCCCAGUAGCGGCGAGCGAACGGGGAGCAGCCCAGAGUCUGAAUCAGCUUGUGUGUUAGUGGAACGGUCUGGAAAGUCCGACGGUACAGGGUGAUAGUCCCGUACACCAAAAUGCACAGGCUGUGAACUCGAAGAGUAGGGCGGGACACGUGGUAUCCUGUCUGAAUAUGGGGGGACCAUCCUCCAAGGCUAAAUACUCCUGACUGACCGAUAGUGAACCAGUACCGUGAGGGAAAGGCGAAAAGAACCCCGGCGAGGGGAGUGAAAAAGAACCUGAAACCGUGUACGUACAAGCAGUGGGAGCACCUUCGGGUGUGACUGCGUACCUUUUGUAUAAUGGGUCAGCGACUUAUAUUCUGUAGCAAGGUUAACCGUAUAGGGGAGCCGCAGGGAAACCGAGUCUUAACUGGGCGUUAAGUUGCAGGGUAUAGACCCGAAACCCGGUGAUCUAGCCAUGGGCAGGUUGAAGGUUGGGUAACACUAACUGGAGGACCGAACCGACUAAUGUUGAAAAAUUAGCGGAUGACUUGUGGCUGGGGGUGAAAGGCCAAUCAAACCGGGAGAUAGCUGGUUCUCCCCGAAAGCUAUUUAGGUAGCGCCUCGUGAACUCAUCUUCGGGGGUAGAGCACUGUUUCGGCUAGGGGGUCAUCCCGACUUACCAACCCGAUGCAAACUACGAAUACCGAAGAAUGUUAUCACGGGAGACACACGGCGGGUGCUAACGUCCGUCGUGAAGAGGGAAACAACCCAGACCGCCAGCUAAGGUCCCAAAGUCAUGGUUAAGUGGGAAACGAUGUGGGAAGGCACAGACAGCCAGGAUGUUGGCUUAGAAGCAGCCAUCAUUUAAAGAAAGCGUAAUAGCUCACUGGUCGAGUCGGCCUGCGCGGAAGAUGUAACGGGGCUAAACCAUGCACCGAAGCUGCGGCAGCGACACUAUGUGUUGUUGGGUAGGGGAGCGUUCUGUAAGCCUGCGAAGGUGACCUGUGAGGGUUGCUGGAGGUAUCAGAAGUGCGAAUGCUGACAUAAGUAACGAUAAAGCGGGUGAAAAGCCCGCUCGCCGGAAGACCAAGGGUUCCUGUCCAACGUUAAUCGGGGCAGGGUGAGUCGACCCCUAAGGCGAGGCCGAAAGGCGUAGUCGAUGGGAAACAGGUUAAUAUUCCUGUACUUGGUGUUACUGCGAAGGGGGGACGGAGAAGGCUAUGUUAGCCGGGCGACGGUUGUCCCGGUUUAAGCAUGUAGGCUGGUUGUCCAGGCAAAUCCGGAUAAUCAAGGCUGAGGUGUGAUGACGAGGCACUACGGUGCUGAAGUAACAAAUGCCCUGCUUCCAGGAAAAGCCUCUAAGCAUCAGGUAACAUUAAAUCGUACCCCAAACCGACACAGGUGGUCAGGUAGAGAAUACCAAGGCGCUUGAGAGAACUCGGGUGAAGGAACUAGGCAAAAUGGUGCCGUAACUUCGGGAGAAGGCACGCUGGUGUGUAGGUGAAGUCCCUGCGGAUGGAGCUGAGACCAGUCGAAGAUACCAGCUGGCUGCAACUGUUUAUUAAAAACACAGCACUGUGCAAACACGAAAGUGGACGUAUACGGUGUGACGCCUGCCCGGUGCCGGAAGGUUAAUUGAUGGGGUUAUCCGUAAGGAGAAGCUCUUGAUCGAAGCCCCGGUAAACGGCGGCCGUAACUAUAACGGUCCUAAGGUAGCGAAAUUCCUUGUCGGGUAAGUUCCGACCUGCACGAAUGGCGUAAUGAUGGCCAGGCUGUCUCCACCCGAGACUCAGUGAAAUUGAACUCGCUGUGAAGAUGCAGUGUACCCGCGGCAAGACGGAAAGACCCCGUGAACCUUUACUAUAGCUUGACACUGAACAUUGAGCCUUGAUGUGUAGGAUAGGUGGGAGGCUUUGAAGCGUGGACGCCAGUCUGCGUGGAGCCAACCUUGAAAUACCACCCUUUAAUGUUUGAUGUUCUAACGUUGGCCCCUGACCGGGGUUGCGGACAGUGUCUGGUGGGUAGUUUGACUGGGGCGGUCUCCUCCCAAAGCGUAACGGAGGAGCACGAAGGUUAGCUAAUCCUGGUCGGACAUCAGGAGGUUAGUGCAAUGGCAUAAGCUAGCUUGACUGCGAGCGUGACGGCGCGAGCAGGUGCGAAAGCAGGUCAUAGUGAUCCGGUGGUUCUGAAUGGAAGGGCCAUCGCUCAACGGAUAAAAGGUACUCCGGGGAUAACAGGCUGAUACCGCCCAAGAGUUCAUAUCGACGGCGGUGUUUGGCACCUCGAUGUCGGCUCAUCACAUCCUGGGGCUGAAGUAGGUCCCAAGGGUAUGGCUGUUCGCCAUUUAAAGUGGUACGCGAGCUGGGUUUAGAACGUCGUGAGACAGUUCGGUCCCUAUCUGCCGUGGGCGCUGGAGAAUUGAGGGGGGCUGCUCCUAGUACGAGAGGACCGGAGUGGACGCAUCACUGGUGUUCGGGUUGUCAUGCCAAUGGCACUGCCCGGUAGCUAAAUGCGGAAGAGAUAAGUGCUGAAAGCAUCUAAGCACGAAACUUGCCCCGAGAUGAGUUCUCCCUGAGACUUUAAGUCUCCUGAAGGAACGUUAAAGACGAUGACGUUGAUAGGCCGGGUGUGUAAGCGCAGCGAUGCGUUGAGCUAACCGGUACUAAUGAACCGUGAGGCUUAACC